Molecule: ribosomal RNA, 468 nt
Filed under: uncultured bacterium
Lineage: Bacteria
Description: partial 16S ribosomal RNA
Rfam family: Bacterial small subunit ribosomal RNA
Source: RNAcentral
GACGAACGCUGGCGGCGUGCUUAACACAUGCAAGUCGAACGGAAAGGCCCUGCUUUUGUGGGGUGCUCGAGUGGCGAACGGGUGAGUAACACGUGAGUAACCUGCCCUUGACUUUGGGAUAACUUCAGGAAACUGGGGCUAAUACCGGAUAGGAGCUCCUGCUGCAUGGUGGGGGUUGGAAAGUUUCGGCGGUUGGGGAUGGACUCGCGGCUUAUCAGCUUGUUGGUGGGGUAGUGGCUUACCAAGGCUUUGACGGGUAGCCGUCCUGAGAGGGUGACCGGCCACAUUGGGACUGAGGUACGGCCCAGACUCCUUCGGGAGGCAGCAGUGGGGAAUAUUGCACAAUGGGCGGAAGCCUGAUGCAGCAACGCCGCGUGCGGGAUGACGGCCUUCGGGUUGUAACCCGCUUUCGCCUGUGACGAAGCGUGAGUGACGGUAAUGGGUAAAGAAGCACCGGCUAACUACGUG